CUUUGCUCUACCGUGGUAACGAACGUGUUUCAAUAAAAAAUAAUAAAUAUAUUAUUAAAGAUUAUAUUACCUUGUCUUUUUUAGCCUUUCAAUAAAUCUUCCAACCGGUCCAAAGAAACGACAAAUAGAUUUUGCAAAAUAUCGCUUAAUUACACAGUAAUAAAAUAAUCCGGUAUAUGUGAAACCCAAGAGUAACAAGAGCAUACCAUAACCGGUACACCAGCAGAAACCGCAAUCCUUUGCUAAAAGAAGAAAAAAAAAAAGAAAAGAAAAAACAAGAACGAAAUUAAGGAAGUCACUUAUCUUAAUUUUGGUGGCAAAGGCAAAGUAGAUCACUACGAGACUAUUUAACAGUAUCAAGGCUAGAAAUUUGACAAUUCUUCGAUGCCUCGAAAUGUAUGCUUCCAUGGCAUUACGUGUCGUCACAAAUCGAAAUGAAAGUAUAAAUGUUUCGUAACGUUAUACAACAACCAGCUGUAGUCGAAGAUAACACUGUUGUGAGCGAAAAAAGUUACUCGUGAAAGGCCAAAUUUUAUCAUCAAAUAUAUUAAUCUCACUAUAUAAUAUAUAGAUCGUAAAGCACAAUCACAAUAUUUCAAUACACCAAUAGGUUCGCAUAUAUCUACCUCUAAAGAGAUAAGUCGUUAAACCACUACUGAAGAUUGAAGCCGAUGAUAUCUCGUAUAGCUCUAUCUACGUUGUAAGGCUUAGACAUUCAUAAGAAGUGGGGAUUUAUACGUACCUAGUACAAACGUGCUAGUACGACAUACUUACGUUUUUAAAACCUAUUACGUUUGAUUAAUUGAUUUUCAAUUUCGUUUUCAUGUGGUGCUUCGUUUGAGUAAUGAAAUAAUAAUUUCAAUAAAUAUAUUUUUCUAUUCAAUAAUUAUACUUUUGGAUAAUUAAAUUUUUUUUUUCAUAAACAAACGCAUAUACCGAUAAAUAGAAUUAUUUAUAUUAUUAAUUGAAACUAUUUAAAGAGCGAAGUAUUGAAAAAUAAUGUUUAGAAUAUACUUCCUUUCAUUGUUAUUUUAUUACAAAACUAGUCACUGUCGAUGCGUAAACUUCAUCGUAACCGUGGUCUGGCGUUAACAUUGAUGCUCACGUAACAAUGGCUUUAACGUAAUAAAUCGUCGUCGGUAAAGUAUUACAAAUGCGAAGAGACAUUUAAAGCGAACGAUAAAAACGUGAUCUAUGGGGCCAGUGAAAUAUAAAAUGAGAUAUUGAAUUGUUAAAUCAAGAAUUCUACUUCGUAGAAAUUCUUAUCAUUAAUAUGCGUUAUGUCUAUAAUAAUCUACAAGCAAUAAUAUUCUAUAUUUAAACCAAGUAAUUUUUCUUUUUCUUUCUUUUUUGUAAGAUAGAUUAAUCGAUCGUAACGACUGUAAGAAUAUAUAAAAUAUUAUAAAGUAUUAUUAUAAAAUAUUAUAUAUAUAUAUAUAAAGUAUUUUUAUUUUUUAGCAUAUAAUAAUAUUUACAAAAAGGUUUUAAAUAUGUUAAUGACAAAGAUGAGAAAACUCUGUAUAAGUCAUUGUACAAGUAAUUAUAAAAAUGCGCAAAAGUAAUUCAGCUCUUUAUUCUAUUUAUAGUACAUACAUAAUAUUGUAAAUUUAAAAAGAAAAUUUUAAUGAUAACACACGUAUAAAUAUCAUUAUCCGAAAAAUCUUAUCAGGGUUAUCUUACGAUAAUGUAAUGAUAAAAAAUUGGUGCAUUUUGAAUGUAUUAAUUGUAUAACUAUAUUUUGAAAAUCUACAUUGUAUAAAGAGAAAAAAAUCGUCAAAUAUAAAGUAUAUUGGAGAUGCUGUUAAAUUGAAUGAAAUAAUAACUAUAAAUGGCAAUUGUUUUUUCUUCGAAAAAUCAAAGAUUUUGUUGAUCGAAUUUAUUCGCAUUAUUAACAAAACUUAAUUUGUUGAUUGUCUUUGACGAUUAUACUCGUUAUACGAAACAAAAAAUUACAUUUUACUAUUCGAGUUAAAAUUUAGGUGAAUACUAAAAAUUAGUCAUAUUUUUAAAAAUAUUUUAAAAUAUUUUAAGACAAUAACAAAAUAAGAAAGAAAAAAUUCAGUAAGACACGCUUACAAAAAGAAAUGAUAAAAUAGCAUAGUAUAGCGUAGAAAAUAUUAUAGAACAGUAUAGAUUAUUAUAAAAAACGACGAUAACGAGGAUAGCAGAAGAUAGUAUGAGAUAGCAUAAGACAGGACAGGAAAAGUUGAAUUGGAUCGGGCUAAGUUGAACUGGACGGAUCCAAGUCGGGUUGUGCCGGAUCGAGCCAAGCGGAUCCAUUACAUGAUAUAUUAUCAUGUACUAUGUCUUUUCCUAUUCUAUUCUGUAUUAUUUAUAUUCUGUCUUUUAUCAUCUCUUAUACUAUCUUUUCCUAUUCUAUUCUGUCCGUGAUGUUCUGUCUGUGGCGUGUCUUACUUAAAACUUUUAUGCUUCUGUUCUUUUUUUAUCUUUUUUAUUUCGUUGUGUUGUGAAACAUUUAAAAUUUUCUUAAAUUGACAAAUCAUUUUUAUUCUUCAAUGAAAUUUUAAUUGAAAUAGGAAUGGAUGAUAUCUCUUUACGAAAUGACGAAUAUACUUAUCGUUCCACGAAACAUUUUUUCAGGAUGAUUAUUCUCGUUAAAGAUAGAUUGACAAUACAUAGAUUAAUAAGGUUAAUACAUACGUUAAAGCAAACAGAGCGAAGUAAGACAAGUCGAUUUUUAAAAAUAAUACACGUGUCUCCGUCGAAAACAUUAAUUUUCAAUCACGACUUUUGCUUUCCUACGAACGUCUAGCAGAUAAAAACUCACAAACAGCGGUCACGAAAACCAGCAUUUUUGAUCCUAAGAUUUUGGCAGGGCUUACUUAAGACGAACGAGAUUUAGAAUUCGUACGAGAGGACUCAUUUUCGAGAGGCGCCGAAUUCUAUUUAUACAAGUCCAAGACGAGUUUCAUGCUCUCGAAAUUCUGUUUCAUUUUGUGACGGAAAAACGAGGAGGUUCGUUCUGUCAUUAAAAAAAAAGAAAAAACAUGAAGAAGAAAAAAUAAAUAGAGAAAGAGAGAGAGAGAAAGAGAAAGAAAGAGAGAGAGAGAGAGAGAGAGAGAGAGAGAGAGAGAGAUUUAAAACAGUAGACAUAUUUUAACCACAUCUGUCAAUUUGACAGGUAGUAAAAAAAAAGGAAAACACUUUUUAUAUUCCUUACUAUUUUUAGUUUAUUUAAUUUUACAAUAACAAAGAAAUAAAUAUAGUUUCCGCUUAAAAAUUUUCUGAUAAUUAUUUCGAGUGUACGUACGAGUUAGAAACGAUCAAUAAGAUAUAUUGACGAUUAUUGUAUCAUGAUUUUAUUAUAAUGUCAAGUUGUUUUGUAUCUUUUUUUUAUUAUUAUUAUUAUUCUUAUUAUUAUUACUAUAAUGAUUUUUUCUUUUAUAUAUUCUUUCGAUUACUUCUUUGUUUUCUUUGGUUCUUUUUUUAAUCCUCAUCCGAUUUUCGGAACUACUAUUUGACUUUGUUGUCCACGCGAUCAAUAAGAAAUACUAAGAAUUAUUCUAAUUUUAUUAUCGCGUCACUUUGUUUUGUAUCUUUUUUAUUAUUAUUAUUAUUUUUUUAUUUAUUUAUUUAUUCUUUCGAUGAUUUAUUUGUUUUGUUUUGUUUCGUUUUUUUUUUGUUUUAAUCCUUAUUCGAUUUCUUUUGAAUUCGGGUCGUUAAAUAUGGAAUUGACAUUGAUAUUACGUUAGAAUAUUUCUCAGAAUCAUUCAACAGACUUUCCCUUUUUCAUCGAAGCCAAAGAAUAAUUUCUUCAUAUUUUUACGAAUUUUGCAUCAUAAAUCUCUCGAUCUUACCUGGUUCGUUCGAAGAAUUUACCUGGAAUUGAGGUCCGGCGGAUGAAUUAAAUCAUUUUCAGAAAGAGAGAGUGAGAGAGAGUAAAAGGAAAUAAAAGAGAUGCGUCGUAAGAGCGAGAGAGACAAAUAGCUCUUUUAAAUAGCCGGGCCGUCUAGAGCAUUUGCGACUGCAACGUGCAAAAUAUCGCAUGCACUCGACAUUAUGCGACUCAAAGACGUAUUUCCAUGGGAAACCACUCCUCUCUAAAAUGUUUUACACGUGUAU
Vespa velutina is the source of this 4083-nucleotide long non-coding RNA. RefSeq lists it as uncharacterized. Lineage: Eukaryota; Metazoa; Arthropoda; Insecta; Hymenoptera; Vespidae. The transcript has 3 exons. The record is from RefSeq and is a predicted model, not a curated record.